UCGCCCUGGGAUGGGCCCGCGUCGGAUUAGCUAGUUGGUGGGGUAACGGCUCACCAAGGCGACGAUCCGUAGCUGGUCUGAGAGGAUGAUCAGCCACACUGGGACUGAGACACGGCCCAG
This 120-nucleotide ribosomal RNA is filed under the name uncultured bacterium. Its description in RNAcentral is "partial 16S ribosomal RNA". It matches the Rfam family "Bacterial small subunit ribosomal RNA", at positions 215 to 334 of the family's 1533-position model. The record is from RNAcentral.